CACCCAAUUAAGUGUGCUUGGGUGAGAGUAGUACUAGGAUGGGUGACCUCCUGGGAAGUCCUCGUGUUGCACCCC
This is a non-coding RNA of Arabis alpina (gray rockcress), 75 nucleotides long. The record is from Rfam. Lineage: Eukaryota; Viridiplantae; Streptophyta; Magnoliopsida; Brassicales; Brassicaceae.